AGGGGGUUUGGAUCAUGGCUCAGAUCGAACGCUGGCGGCGUGGUUAAGGCAUGCAAGUCGAGCGAACCUCUUUGCGGGGUAACCCAAGAUUAGGUUAGCGGCGAACGGGUGAGUAAUGCAUGGAUAACGUACCCCGAACUCAGGGAUAGCGGCGGGACUUCGGUUCCUUUGCGAAAGUGCCGGUAAUACCUGAUGACCCCGUAGUGUCGCAUGGCACAGCGGGCAAAGCUCCGGCGGUUUGGGAUCGGCCCAUGUCUUAUCAGCUUGUUGGUGAGGUAACGGCCCACCAAGGCUAUGACGGGUACCGGGCGUGAGAGCGUGACCCGGCACAUCGGAACUGAGAUACGGUCCGGACACCUACGGGUGGCUGCAGCAACGAAUAUUCCCCAAUGGACGCAAGUCUGAGGGAGCGACGCCGCGUGCAGGAAGAAGUUCUUCGGGAUGUAAACUGCUGUCAGGGGCAAGGAAUCAAUGACCAGCCCCACAGGAAGCACUGGCUAACUCCGUGCCAGCAGCCGCGGUAAUACGGAGAGUGCAAGCGUUGAUCGGAAUUAUUGGGCUUAAAGCGCGUGUAGGCGGGACGUCAGGUGUCUAGUGAAAGCCCCGGGCUCAACCCGGGAAUGGCUGGGCAAACCGGCGUUCUUGAGGCAGGUAGAGGUGACUGGAACGACUGGUGGAGCGGUGAAAUGCGUAGAUAUCAGUUGGAACGCCUGAGCGAAAGCGAGUCACUGGGCCUGUCCUGACGCUCAGACGCGAAAGCGU
Molecule: ribosomal RNA, 762 nt
Filed under: uncultured bacterium
Lineage: Bacteria
Description: bacterial SSU rRNA
Rfam family: Bacterial small subunit ribosomal RNA
Source: RNAcentral